CUGCUUUCCUAUCUGUUUACCUGUUGUCUGAACGUCUUUCUGUCUGUCUCCCUGUCUGUCUGUCUGUCUCCGUGUCUGUCUCUCUAUCUGGUUUCCUGUCUGGCUUUGUGCCUGGCUUCCUGUCUGUCUGACUCACUGUCUGUCUGUCAUUCUGUUUGUCUCCCUGUCUGUCUCCCUGUCUGUCUCCCUACCUGGCUUCCUGUCUGUCUCUCUGUCUUCCUGUCUGUCUGACUCACUGUCUGUCCGCCUUCCUAUCUGUUUACCUGUUGUCUGUCUUCCUGAAUGUCUUUCUGUCUGUCUCCCUGUCUGUCUGUCUGUCUCCGUGUCUGUCUCUCUACCUGGUUUCCUGUCUGGCUUUGUGCCUGGCUUCCUGUCUGUCUCUCUGUCUUCCUGUCUGUCUGACUCACUGUCUGUCUGCCUUCCUGUCUGUUUACUUGUCUGUCUGUCUCCCUGUCUCUCUCCCUAACUGUGUGUCUGUCUCCCUGUCUGCCUAUCUGUCUCCCUGUGUCUCUCUCUCUGUCUGUCCAUCUCCCUCCCUUCCUGUCUGUCUGUCUGUGUAACUGCUGCUGCUGUCUCUGUAUCUGUCUGCCUGUCUGUCUCACUGUCUUUCUGUAUAACAUCGUCUAUUUUUGUAUCUAAUGAAAAACAACAGUUCUUUAAGAGUUCCUUAACUUUCUACAAAUGUUUCUUUCGCUUUUUCAUGAUAUAUUCAGAAUUCCUAUCUCAUAAUUUAAGUCAGUAUGACUCACUAACUGCGGCUUAAGCGCCUCAAAUUCAUUCCCUGGUUAAAAACGACACAGAGUAAUCAGAGAAAGAGAGCGAGACGACCAUCUGACACGCUCUUAGAGCAGUACGCCUCCGAGUACACUACCACUGCUUCCAGUUUCAUUUCAAAAUAAAAACCUGAUAACUAGGUUAAAGUGUGAGUGUGUUAUGUAAAGAAUAAACGACUCAGUGUCGUGGAAAAGAAUCAAAUGAUGAAGAGGAGUCACUGUUACUACACUGAUUACUUUCCUACAGCAGUUGUAACAGUGUCGUAUUUAUCAAAGACUGACACGUCAUGCUUUUCAUCUGUUUAUAGUGACAGUACUGGUGUAGUUCAUAUCCUCCCUUACGUUAUAGCAGCUAUAAAUGCUCCUCUCUCACCAGCCCUCUCUUUUUUCCUCUCUCUUAAAGUUAUAAGACAAAAACAAGCAGUUUGUCACUCCUCUGUCCUGAAGUACCUCGAAAAACUUAAACUUACAGCUUUACCUCUGACUGAUGCAAACCACUGACGCUGGAGACAUUAAAAACAUGCUUUUUAAUCCGUUUAUGUGGCGCGCACGCUUCACAAGUCUGUGCUGUUACUAUAGAAACAAUGAAGUAUUCGAAUAAAUAAUAUGAAGCUGUGAUUUGCAGCUGCGCUACUGUCCGAGCUGCUGUUCGGAAAGAUAAGUUGCUGCGUGCGCGCGUGUGUGUGUGUGUGUGUGUGGUCUCGGAUGUAUAGGGUGUGUUCGGGGUGUGUGUGUGACUCUGUGUCAUGCGCUGCCAGCUGAAUAAUGAAGUGGAGCUCACACAGCGUGCUGGAGGAGAUAAGAGAGAUUCACUUCUCUCAGAUUUGGCAGACGAGUGUCCACUGAGACAGAUAAAAAAUUAACCACUCGCUCACACACAGCGCCUAAUUCAGGAUUUCGGGGGAAGAGAUGAUUCUGAGUGCGCACCAAACACACACACACACACAGGCUUCCCUCUCUCCAUUUCUAUUUCUUACGGUGAGAAUGGGAGCGAUGAUGUAAAAGGUGUGAGAUGUACCUAAUAGUGAGGGGAAUUCCAGCUCUUUAUUAGCGAGUCGGUGAAUUAUUUGACUCAUAAAUAAGAGUCGACUCUUUCGCCUCCCAAACCACUUUUUUUUUUUUAAAUAAAAGUUGUUAGACUGAAUCAGUGAAUCAGCUGCGUGUCAUCAAAUGUGCACUGACAUCAACAAACUUUAAUUGUCCCUGCUGCACUGUUUGUGCUUAAUUAAGAAGAUUUAAGGUCCUAGGUCUAGGUCCUACCUGUGACUAGGUCUAGGUCCUACCUGUGACUAGGUCUAGAUCAGACCUGUGACUAGGUCUAGAUCCUACCUGUGACUAGGUCUAGGUCCUACCUGUGACUAGGUCUAGAUCCUACCUGUGACUAGUUCCUGUUAACAGUUUGACGAACCGUGGUUUUAUCUUAUCCUCUCACUGCUACUUCCUUCCAAGUUGUUUUGGUCUUCAUAAUGUCUCCGAACACACGUAUACUUUUAUACACAUGUAAUGAGAGGUCGUACAUCAGUCGAGUGAGCGACCUCUCAUUACAUGUGUAUAAAAGCAUUACGUGCGUUCAGAGACGUUAUGAAGAACGAAAUAGCUUGGAAGGAAGUAGCAGUGAGCGCACGUAGCUAAUACAGUUAGCUUGCUUUGCUAAUCUUAUCUGAGAACAAAGCUAGUACGAAGCCGAGCAUGCGACAUGUAACACAAAUAUAUGUGUAUAAAUAGUACAGCAGAGUGCAGGAUGUAGAUUUUCACUACUGUUUCUGGACAGGCCACGCCCACAAUCAACAACAGUAACGCUGCUACACACACACACACACACACUCAUUUAAUAUGACAUUAUAAUCUCCUGAAAAUUAUGAUCAGAGUCAGCGUUAUGAUCAGGGUCGAACCGUUUCAGUCGGAGGGAACCGUACCGGAAAAGCUUUUGUUGUGCAACUGUACUGGACACAACACACACUCACACACACACACACACAAGCAGUUGAAGAGCUGCUCACACCUCAAUACAACAACUCUAAAUAUACACCAUAUGUUUACAGCCUGCGCUUCUCUUCCACUCUGAGUCACUACAGGAACAGGAUCAUGAGCGCAAAACUCUGAUAUAGAAACCCUGUACGUCCUGCCCUGCUGGAAAAUACUACAGAAACCCUGAUAGAAUUUGUAAUGGUUUUAAUGGUUAUAAUGGGAAUUGUAUUGGUUGUAAUGGAAACUGUAAUACUCCCUGUGAGUCUCUACUGGUAAUUUGUUGCCUUCUAUUGGUCUAGUAAAUACCAUUAAGGACCACUAAUGGUAAUGGUUUAAUGGUUAGCUGAUGGAUUGUAAUGGUAUUUGUACUGGAAACCAUUAGAAUUUCUGUGAUGGUUUCUACUGGGGUUUUUUUUUUCCAGCUGGGAAGUUUCCAACCGCCUGCUUGAGGAGCACGAUGUAUUUCUCAUAUUAUCAUUAAACAUGAACAUUUUGGCCAAAACGAGAUUUUGUAAGUGACGCCAUGUUUAAAGCGCUGAUAAUCCUGAUAAGUUUGAACAUCUUUAAUAUCGAUUACUUCUGUUUUAUAAGAGUCAAAAAGCGGUUUUAGUGAAAUGGGGCUUUGUGUGAAGGGUUUAUGCUAUGCAUCAUGAUAUUUAGGUAUGCAAACCAAAGUGGCAGAGAAAAAAAAGACAUUAAAAUAGUGACAGUUUUUAAACAUUUGCACAGUAAAGAGAGAGAGAAAGAGAGAGAAAGAGACAGAAUGACUCAUCUAGUACACCAGAAUAUUUUUAAUGUUCGAUCUUACAAACAUUACUGCUCACAGUGACUAAACAUAACUAUAAAAGGGUAAUAAAGUACGGCUGAUAAAAAGCCACACUGACAAUAUUAAAGCAGCGGUGUGUAAAGUUUAAGCGCCCUCUUGCUGCCUGGAACUGCGACUGCAAUUAGAUAACAGACCCCCCUUCACUUCACUUUCCCCCUCCCACCGCCGUUAUUAAAGCUAUUUGAAGGGGUGGAGCUAGGCAUGUGGACAGAGCAUAUUUCAGGGCUGGAAAACUGUAAAAAGGCCAAAAUGAUUUUUUAUUUUUAUUUUAAUUGGCCUGAUCCAGAUUCAGGGAAUUACAUCACAGCAAACAGCUUCCCAGGUAUUUAUAAUGAUACACAAUAGAAUUGUGGGAUUGACUCCACAGACCUGUUCAUUCAUUUAAUUAUGUAUUUAUUUAAUUUUCAGGAAAAAAAAUAUUCGUGGCCACAGUCACUGUUUAUGGUCUGCACUCAUAUAGUGCUUUUUUAACCUUAGCAGCUCCAAAGCGCUUUACACUGUGUCUCACUCACCCAUUCACACACACACACACUCACACACCAAUGGGAGCAGAGCUGUGAGGCGCUAACUUGCCAUCGGGAGCAACUUGGGGUUCAGUGUCUCGCCCAAGGACACUUCGGUAUGUGGAGUCACGUGGGCCGGGAAUCGAACCUCCAACAAUGCGAUUAGUGGGCAACCCGCUCUACCACCUGAUCCACAACCGUACAUUUAUUUAUUAUAUAUUUAUUUAGUUAUUUAUUUAUUUGUUUGUUCGUUUUAUGCAUGUAACCCUGUUCCCUGAAAAGGGAAUGAGACGUUGCAUGAGCUCAACAAUGUGGGAAGUGCCCUCACGCGUGACCGGCAUCUGAAGUUUGUGUAACAUCAUGCCUAUUUACAGGCCUGCCAUGAUCAGGUGACAUUGCAAUUAAGCGCGUCGCGUGAUGUAAAAACGGAACCUGUGAACCGCGCCAUCAGCCUCCAUUAUCUGAAGCGAAGACGCAGUACACAGACAUGCUCCAGUAUGACAAAGCUAUGCAAUGUCUCGUCCCCUUCUAGGGAACAGGGUUACAUGCAUAACUCAGACGUUGCCUUUCAAAGGGAACUCACCGUUGCGUGAGCUUCACACUGUGGGAACGAGAACACCCACUCCAUCAUACUAAGGGUAUGGCCUGUUCCCAAAAGAUCUGAGCCCAAGGGUCACUGCAAGACACUCGAGCCCAGGGUGGAAUGUAUAUCCAGGCUGUAAUAUCAAAUGAAUGUGUGCGGCAUAGACCACCCCGCUGCAGCACACACACCCUGUAAGGGUACCCUUUUGGACAAAACCUUCGAGGAGGCGGAACCCCUAGUGCUCCAGCUUAUGCCACUGGCCAGAGCGG
Ictalurus punctatus (channel catfish) is the source of this 4922-nucleotide long non-coding RNA. The record is from Ensembl. NCBI's taxonomy places the organism in Eukaryota, Metazoa, Chordata, Actinopteri, Siluriformes, Ictaluridae.